This 6250-nucleotide long non-coding RNA is filed under the name Heterocephalus glaber (naked mole-rat). RNAcentral's name for it is "lncRNA (ENSHGLG00000045442.1)". The record is from RNAcentral. Lineage: Eukaryota; Metazoa; Chordata; Mammalia; Rodentia; Bathyergidae.
CCCCCGUGGCCCCGCCCCCGCCCCGGCCGCGGGCCCGGAGCCGCUGCAGACCCGGUGCCCCGCGCACCUGGCGGGGAGAAAGUUCGGGGUCCGCGAACACGCCGUGACCUUGAGACGGCGGCUCCCUGUCCCCGCGCCCGCCCCGCGGGGCGGCCAGGAGGGGGCGCUCGGGCGCAAGGGUCGGGGUCGGGGACCCGCCCUUGCCGUCCCACCGGUCUGCGGCGCCUCGGAGCCGGAGCCCGACCCGGACCGAGGCCCCAGGCCCCGUUUUGCGGGCCGGGCCGGGAAUUCGGGGGCGUCUGGCCGCUGUGGGCUCGGCGACUUCCAGACGCGCUCGAGCUGCGCCCGCCCGCCCGCUCGCUCCUGCAGAAGGCCCGGAAGUCCGCCCGGAGCCCUGCCCGCCGGCCUGUUUCCCGGGUUCUCGGACGGAGCCGGCCCGGCCCUGGCAGUUGUUUUGCCCUCGCUGAAGACCGGUGGCGUCGCCGAGGCUGAGCGCCCGCCCUUCCCGGUCCCCCGGCCCCACCACACCUGGCCAGCGCCACCCUGACUCCGGGCUGCGGCGUCGCCCUCGUCUGCGGACGGAGCCGCGCGCGCGCGGCCUCCUGACUUUCCGGCACGGCUUCGUGGGGAAGCCAGACGGCGCUCCGAAGGACAGCCGCGCAGGCCGCGCCUCCGGUGGCGGGGAACGACGGGAGUAAACCCUGCGUUCGGCCUGAUGCCCCCACUCUUCCUCCUCCGACCGAACUUUGGUGCCGUGGACCCCGCGACAUCCGGCUCCUGCACCACGGUCACGAGAAGCAGCACGUUUUAAUUCUAAAGCCUCGGGCUUUCCUUCCUAAGCGAGUUGUUCCAAAACAUCGCAUUUUCCGGAUUCCGAGUGACAAGGGACAGUAAGGCAGAGAAGGUGCGGAUCGUCCCUGCAACGCUAACUACAAGGCCUGGGAGGGCUGCGCUCCAGCUCGCAGACAGCGGAGAGCUCACGUUCCUCCCUCGCUCCCCACCUCCGUCCCUGUUAGCUUCUCCGAUUAGGACCGCAGCGCAGGUCUGGGCCCACACAGGUGAGGACGUGUGCGAAGCUGAUUGCUGGUUGGAACCGAGUCCCUGGCUCUGUUGAGCGAAUGAGCUUGCCCCGCCCACACACGUGAACUUGUCCGUCCUCCUGGAGGAAGAAAGAUUCCCGAAGCAAAGUACCGAGUAGCAGAACGAGGGACGGGGUGUUGGCCUCCCCCUGUUUCCCCGUGGAAGAAGGGAUGCAUGCCUGCUGCGAAUCUGGGGGUUCGCGUUCCGCAGAGAAGAGCAGAAGUGUAGAAGUGCUUUGAAGUGAUCGCUCGCUGGGUGCACACUUUGAUUGGUCUGAGGGCGACAGUUCGGCCUCUUCCCUGGCUCUUCAAAAUCUUUAUUUCAGGGCCUGCUUACUUCCAAAGUGCGGCUGCUCAUCAGAGCCACCUAAGGAGCUCCCAGGGCAGCCGAGGCCCCAGCCCCCGAUCUUCUCUCCAGGACAGAAACUCAUUCUGUCUGUUCUGGUGGGGCAUGCGUGAUCACUAGUAAAGCAGUUGCUAAUGAAAACUGGGCUUUCCCCUGUGGCCCCCAUCUGCACAGGUAGGGGAAGCACUGUUGUUUUUACAGCUCCUGUGUCUUUCUCCCGGGCCACCGCUGAACUAUGUAAAUAACUAGCUGGUUUUCCUUUUCUCUCAUUCUCAAGCCCCACAUAAUUCACAUAGUAGUCCUUUUCAUAUUUGUCUAUAAAUAAGUGAAUGCAGUCCAGGGAUCAGUUCACGUAAACUGCAUUUGCAGUUAUAUUAAAAGCAUCAGGUCCAGAAUGUGUCCCUUAACCUGCUUCCUCCUGGAAUCCUUUGCGUCCUCUUCCAGGACCUUCUCUCUGCAUUUCUUCCACACAACACUUUGAUUAUUCCUCCUCCUUUUUCCUAGUUCUUUUCCUUUUCUGGACAUUUUUUUCCUUAGCUGUUUGUCCCUCUCGUUCUGUGCUACCUUUAUUUUAGUUCCCCAGUGAACUGAAGUUGUUGGAGGACUGGCACCAGAGCACCGGAGUUUUCAUUUGUGUGUAUUCUGACCUUCAGUUCCCAAGGGAUGCUUGCUGGCCCACUCCUGGGUUUCCAGAAGGAGAACAUGGGGUCUGGAACAGUCGGCCCCCAGGGGUAGACGUCAGGAGGUACAGACUGUGCUCGAGUCACCAUCCGCCGUCUGCCUCCCUUUGUCUUCUACUUUUUGUAACAAAAAUUAUCAACUUCGAAUCCCUUAAGAGUGGCCCGUAUCACUGCCCAAACCUCUCACGUUUGCGGGUACUGGCCCGGCCCCUGAGUGCAUUCUGCCUGCAAACAGAGACAGCCCACUUGGACAAGGGUAUGGACCUGGCUGAAAAUCACAACUACACUGGAAAUGGGAAACCAUUUGUUCAUAAAUUUACCAAAAAAAGGAAAUUUCAAGACAGCCUCAUUAAAGACCUGUUAAAAGUUCAUUUACUAGAUAGCUGUUGCUCCUUUGUGAAAACAAAAUUAAAUGUAAAGAACUAAACGAAAAUUAUACUAAGUCACCUUUGCUCCAAUUAUUCUUUCAUUUCAUGACUGCAGACAAAUGUCCUAUCAGAUCAACUCACGAUGUGCACUGAAGAUGUACAUGUUCAGCACCACCCCUUUGUGCUCCUGCAGGCUGAAACCCCUCCAGUAACAGUCAGGGGACAUUAAGGGUAAGCACAGUGUUUGUGAAUCAAAGAUGCUCUUGCAGAAACAGCUCUGAUGGCCCUUUCCUCGGGGAAGAGAAUGUGCACGAUUAUCUACUUCAAAUACCAGGGUGCUCUUUUCUUGCUUCUAAAUCUAAGGCAAACAUGGCUUAGCUGCUGAGCAAGCAGCCAGGUCUUGACAAAACCGAGGUCUUCUCUCUCCUCUUUGAGCCCAAUCCAAUAAUGACAUAUUUUUAGUGUACUGUCUCAGAUUCCCAAGUACUAUCAAGAAAGUCACCACCAUUCGUUUAUUUCCACAAUACUUGUACAUAUACUGAUUUAAAUACAAGUCUUUAUAAAUUAACAGUAAUAAUACCCAACAGUAAUGCAUCUCUACAUGUCUGGCUCAGUAGUGGAUACUCGCUUUGCAUAGCAGUGACUUAGAUCCCAUAGCAAUCUUUCACCUCAAGGUGCAGGUCAGUGUCACCAGGGAUGCCGAACAGAUGCUGCUUGUGAUAUCCCGUCAUGAUGUAGACUCUACAAGACAAAAUAAGUAUUUUGACUGUUACUCUUCUCAGACUUCCUUCAAAAUUGACCACACUACCAUUAACAAAAAGUGCUAAUUAUGUCAACCCAAGCUACAACGCAAGAGUUCACUCAGAAGAUAUGGGCAAUGAUUGAAUUUUCAAAAUAUUACAGUAAAAGACACAUUGCUAUUAAUCUUCCUCAGAAUACUUCUCCUCCCUUUGAACACACUUUCUGAAAGUCUGAAUGCACUUUCUGAAGCCUCUCUGGAAGUCCUCUUUCCAGAGUGUCUUGAGUUGCACUGUCAUUGCUGUCUCAAAGUCCUGGAUCAAUUCAAGACUUUGCCUUUUGUGGUCAUGUUGAAUUUGGGAAAGAGUCAGAAGUCAUAUGGAGGCAGAUAAGGCGAAUGAGGACAUCCCAUCAUGUUUUCGUUUCACAGAAAUUGCUGAUUCAGGACGUGGAGGCGGACAUGAAGAGACACUUACGCCGUCCAUGACAGUGGUUGGUAAAGCGUUACCUGCACUGCAACCUGAGUGGCCUUACAUCAUCUCCCGUGGGUAACUGCAGUGAGGGCCUGAUGAACACACAGUAGGAGUGACCAGACAGCUGUGACCAGGACACAGCAUGAUGGGAACAGCUCCUACGAUUUAAAGGAAAUAAGGGUCAUUAGGGUAUAGGAGUCCAGGUAGCAACUUAACCCCCAGAGUCAAGGCAGGUGUGACUGUCACAGUAGGUGAUAGGGUGGGUGUAUCAGAAAGGUGUGACCUACACGGGUCCUUGGGAGUGACUAAAGGAUUACAAAGUCCCGAGGACUGAAAAGUCUGAAUAUUACACUAAGUUCCUGCUGUUUCUGGCCACUUAGGUUCUUAUCCUCAGGUUCAUUUGUGCACCACUGACCAAAUCAAAGGAGGCUAUAAUGUUUGGGUAAAAAGGAAAAGGGUUUAUUGAAGGCCAGCUUGGCGGACAUGGAGGGCCCGUUUGUCUCAGGUCACCGUCUUCCCUGCACAGGCGGACAAGGGACGUUGGUAGUAAGGAGCUGAGGGGAACACAGAGUCAGUGUUGAGCUCCACACUUGCUUUAUCACUUCUGGCCUCUUCAGCUGUGGCCUCCUGGGGCUGCUGGCACCUGCAUAUUCUGUCCGUUCUUCUGAGCUGAGAAGACCUGGGGGAGUCUUUAUGCCCUAAGCCUGAGGACACCUGGAGAAACUAUUUGUCUCUAAAAGAAAAACCCUAACUUGUAAAGUUCCACUUUGCACUGUCCAUUACACGGCUUAAUCUCUACAACCAAGAUGCCUGCGGUUGAGGUCAGCCUAGACCUGACUUGCACUAUCACAAGAGCAAAUCGUCUCCUGAUCUGUUCUUCAGACCUGGAGUGGGCCCUGGAGUCUAGGUGCACUCAAAGGCAGGCGAGUCCUGCAUCACCAGGAGAUGCCUGCAUUCCUCCUGAUCUUGCCCAGAGGCCCCAGGUUGGUUACCAGGAUGCCCAUAGCUUCAGAGGUGGCUGACAGGACCCUGACCCAGGAUGCCAGCAUGGUCCGUGGCAAGUCACAUAGAGAACCUGUGUGCUGACCCAAUGCCCGGCAUGCACAGCAGGCCCUGAGUGCUUUCUGUGCUGAGUUCCCCUCCUUGGGGUGGGGGAGACAACCCAGCAAUGGCCUCAGCUCUCAGAUUUUACCCUGAAUGGGGAGCCAAGGUGGGAAAGCCAAAAAAUAAAACCGAAAACAAACCCUGCAGACCAUAACCACCCUAGCAGUACAGGAAGCCAAAGCAACAUUGCAUUGCUGGGGAAACAACAGAGAGAAGUGUACCACCAGGCCCUGGGGAGGAUGGCAGGCGGUGACUAUAGUCGUGUCCCCACCAGCCUAACUCACUUCAUCCACUAGUGAUGUGGACCUGGGUCAAGGCAGAGGGUUGUCAGCUGCUCAGUUAGGCCUCCUUGUGGAACACUGAGGACCGCUCCUGAUGCCCAAUAGCAUGUGAUCUGUUUGCCAAAUGUUUUCCAUUGUACUCAUAAACACUGAGCCCAGCUGGGAAUGGAUUUCCCCUUCACUCAGUGUCACAGGGAAAGGUCAUGUUGAGUCCCAAGGUGUAAGAUACAGUCCAGAGGGUUCUUGAUUGCUUCAUCAUCACCAGGUUUAUUCUGGAUCAUCACACUGCUGAUAUCGCACAGCUGGGACCUGGUGGUGAGUGAAUAGUACAUAGGCAUCAUGGUAAGACGUGUGUGUGCCAGGGAGAGACUCACAUGAAAAUGUAUGUAUUUAUCUUCCCAAUUAUUUACUUUAUCUUCCUGAUCCCAGCUGGACUAUGGGUCCCAUGUGAACAAUGACAUCUGCCUUAUUCACCACCACUGUUCCAGCCUAGUCCUGGUACCUACAAAAAAUAAGGACAAGAUGUCUUCUUAUGCCUCUUCUGAAGAAUGUAGAUGUUUUAUAGCAACCAUCCCCUCUAGGUAGGGAUGAAGUUUUUACUGCCAAGCAUUGUAUUUGAAUUCUUCUAAGGUAAGAUUUGAUGUGAAAUCAUUUGGAGAACGAAUGGAUUGGAAUAGGUAAUAGCGUUCUAAAUGUCCUCAUUCUCAGUGACUUUUGUUUCAAUGUUCUCCCAUUUAUGAAAAAGGACAGAAUAAUUGCUUACUUUGAGAGAGGCUAGGAAGAUGUUGGCCACAUAGGGCAAUGAUGAUGUUCUAUUGUGUAUUUUUUUUUUGCUUUUACCAUUUAGUUUUGACCAAACAGUUCAUGGAACAUCAAGAUGAUGCAUAGUUAAUAAGACAGAAGGUCAAGGAAAUGAAAGAAAAGAGUAAACAAAAAGGAAACAUCACUGAGCUAUUACUUUCUAUCAGAAUUUGUUAGAGGAAGCCAUUAAUGAUCUGAUGGUUGCAGCUACUCAUUUCCUAUCUGCUGUCCAUGUGGAGCUGAGGGCUACACUUGUCGCAGAUACAAUUUCAACGGCAGCACAUGGCCCACAGCCAGUGUGGGUGGAAGGCAAGGAUGACCAGAAGGAGAACAUGUGGAACCCUUUCUACAGCAGAGCAGAACACCGUCAGGUUUCAAGG